CUGCUCUGUGCAGCUUGAUUUCGGGUGUUAAAAUCACAGCCAGCAGUUUUUUCUGGCGGCGGAGCUCCUCUUCGUAUCCAGACUCUGUUCUAUUUUCGACCAGGUCCGUCAUUACCGCAGCCAGCAGCCGCCGAUUAAAUGGUAGACAGUCAGCCUUUUCCAUUUCAAAGAGACAAAGAUGUUAAUUACCAGCAGGACCCCCAGACUGAACAAACAUUCACCCUCUCUCCUUGGCUGGAGAGUGUCGAAAUUGUCACCUCAGUCUUAAGGGUGGCCAAAAAGACAUUGUGAACUCAACUCAAGAGGGCGCUAGGAGCACUCAUCCUUGAAAAAGACCCCAGCCAUAAACCCUCAGAGUGGAUGAUUCUUCCUGUAAUUCUCUUUACGUGCAGAGUAAAGAGAAUAACUGCGAAUGAUUUAAUUUCAGGUUUAAUGGACACUUCACAAGGAGUUUCUGUCUGUACACAACACAUCUUUGAGCCAGCUGAUUUUUCAGGGUAUGGAUGUUCUUCUUACUUUCUUCUUUUGCUUUUAAGUCAGCUGGAAUUAUGUUUUUAAGUUAUAAAAUCCAACCAGACAGACGAUUAACAAUGUGUCAGUCUAGGCGUGGCUCGUCUUGGUGGUGGUGUUCCUGUAAAAUUAGGAGUCUCUAAUAAUUCAGAUGAACAUUUAAUCCAAGCUGUUUGGGUUUGUGGUUUCUUGAUUGCUGUUUUUAUUCAGUGGUUGGUUGGUCAAAUUAAUUCUGAUGAAUUUGGUCUGCUGGCUAAGUGAGUAAGUUAAGAAGAUUAGACUAUUUUAAAUUUGCCUGUUUGUUGUCCUUGUUUGAUGUCACUUUGAAACCUACCAGAUGAGGAAAAUAUGAAUUUUUUCUCACUUUGUAAAGCUUAGCUGACACUUCACUGAUCAUCAACCAUGAGCUCCUACUCCUGCUCCUAGUAUUUCAAGGCUGGAAAUGUAAAACAUGUGAGUUUAAAGAUGUGAAUAAUUAAAUAAUGUAGCUGAACCUGUUGUGUUUAGUGUGCACAUAAAUGAUGAGAGAACAACAUUGUUUUGAGAUUUUCUUAAAAAGUGAUAUGAGUGGGUCUAUCUAGGCAUUUUCAAAAGCAAAUAUUUUAGUACUCAAACAAAAGUAACAUUUUAGUUAGCGAAUUUCCUUGUAUCUAAGUAGUUAUUGACUGAAUGUCUCUAUAAUUUGAAGUCGUAAUGUCUUCAUCCUCACUAUCUACCCUCUCUGUCCCCAUUAUCUACUUCAUAAUCUUCUAAACAAUCAAUUUUGGUCAUAAACCUAAUACAUUUUACUGUUAAUGUUAUUUAAGUUUAAGAGAGGUCUAAUGUGACAUCAAAAAGCCAGGACUCAAUACAAGUAUCUUCGGAAUUAAAAUAAGUGAGAUAACACACCUCGCCCCACUGCAUUGCAUAAUUGUAGAGCACAGGACAGGAUACAGAAGAUUAAGUGCUGCCCCAGCAGAGGGUUAUUUCAGACCCAUUAAGUCCAGAUCAUACAAAAAAAAUUACAAAAGAUACAAGGGAUAAGAAUAAGAAAACUUUAUUGAUCCCCGAAGGGAAACCAUAGCUAGAGAGCUCGCAUAGCUAGAGACCCGUUGUGUCUCUAGCUAUGUGUUCAUUUUAGCAGAGAGGCUUACAGAAUUUAAAGACUGAGACAACAACCCCCCCCACCCACCCCCCCACCCCCCCCCCACACACACACACACACCUGAAGAGCCAUGUGACAUUCUUGGACUAGCCUAGUGUCAAUAUAUUCUAUUAUACACAGAACGAAAAUGUCUCUCUCUAGUACGAAUCAACAUUUGUAGGUUUUGAAAAAUGUUAUGUUUAACUCCUUCACCACACUGUAAAAAACUCAAAAUCUACUCCCCAGCAUAAACUAGAAAAUGUGAAACCUGACUUCAUUUUCCAAAGAGUACUUCCCUUCAAACACAACAGCCAGUGGACUUCUUCACCCUUUGAGAUUGAAUGUGUCUAUUUAGCGAUUGUUUAGUUUGAAAAAGUUUAUCACAUCCAUGGCAGCUAUAGGGUCUUUCUCCAGUGUGAACUCUCAUGUGGGGGGCCAGUUCUUUUUUACUUUUGAAUGUUUUGCCACAUUCCGAGCAGUUGAAGGGUCUCUUAUCUGAGUGAACUCUCAUGUGAUUGGUCCUCAGCCUUUUUGUUUUAAACAAUUUACCACACUCUGGGCAGCUGAAGGGUCUCUCCUCUGAGUGAACCGUCUUGUGGUGCACCAGAUGGGUUUUUGUUUUAAAUGUACUGCCACAUUCUGGGCAGCUGAAGGCUCUCUCCUCUGUGUGAACUCUCAUGUGUCUUGCCAGGUCUCCUUUACUUUUGAAUGUUUUGCCACAUUCUGAGCAGCUGAAGGGUCUCUCCUCUGUGUGAACUCCCAUGUGAUUGGUCCUCAGCCUUUUUGUUUUAAACAAUUUACCACACUCUGGGCAGCUGAAGGGUCUCUCCCUUGUGUGAACGCUCAUGUGGCUUGCCAGUUCUCCUUUAGUUUUGAAAGGUUUGCCACAUUCAGAGCAGCUGAAGGGUCUCUCAUCUGAGUGAACUCUCAUGUGGCUUGCCAGGUCGUAUUUAGUUUUGAAUGUUUUGCCACAUUCAGAGCAGCUGAAGGGUUUCUCAUCUGAGUGAACUCUCACGUGUUGGGCCAGAUAAUUUUUAGUUUUGAAUGUUUUGCCACACUCUGAGCAGCUGAAGGGUUUCUCAUCCAAAUGAACUGCCAUGUGUUGUCCUAGUAAAUUUUUAGUUUUGAAUAUUUUGCCACACUCUGGGCAGCUGAAGGGUCUCUCCUCUGAGUGAACUUUCAGGUGGAUUGCUAGUUCUUGUCGUGUUUUGAAUAUUCGACAACACUUUGAGCAAACACGUGAUUUCUCAAGCCUCUUCAGCAUCUUCUUUUUCACUUUGUUUACAGACACUAGACUUGACUUUUGUGGUCUGGUAUCAUUCCAAUUCUCAUCACUGCCCUCAGUCUCAGGUUCAGGGGAGUCUUGAGUCUUUCGUUGUAUAUUUAUCCUUGAAUCUGAGUUACUGGCUGGUUCUUGUCCACCAUAAUUCUGUUCCUUGCAAAUGUUCGGGGGCUCAGUGUAUCCCUGGUCCAGAGUGGGACUCCUCUCCUGCUGCUCAGAGAGAAACUCUUUUUUCACCAACACCUGCUGGAUAUCUGCAAGGCACAGAAAAACAAUAAUGAAACAGAAGGUAAUGGAAACAUCAGCAGAUAUGAAAGCAGAUUUAAAAACUCAAUGAUAUUCUUAAGAAAGAUAAGAGAGAGUGUGGGGAUUAUGAACUAAUGUUACCACCUCUAGUGUUGGACUUAAUUAGCUCACCGGCUAAUUAUGUGCUGUCUCAGAGCAGCAGACUAUUUGUCAACAGUCCGGACAAGAACUGAACAAUGUCAGCAGCAUGGAUUUAGUCGAAGAGGCACCACUAAAUCUGUUACUUUUCUCGAAUCAGUUUCAGCAUUUGUUAUGAUGCUCAUUGUUGUGCUCCUGAAACUUCUCGGGCAAAAUUGUAUGGAUGCAGCCUGGUGCAAAAAGCUGCUGCACCAUAGUUCCAGGCAACCAAUCACAGUGUUGAUAAAACACUUAACCCAGGUAACCAAGAGCAGCAUUGUGAGAGUUCACACUAAGAGCUCAGAAUUCAGCUCACAUUUAGUUCACAUGGAUCCAAAUCAACUAGGUUCACAAUGAUAGUUUGUGUGUCUGUCAGCAGACCCCCCCAAACUUCAAUUCCUAAUCCCCUCACUGACAUUUAUUGAAGUAAAUAAUUAUUCAAUUGUACAUCACAAUUGGAGACAGACAUAUACUUUGGAAAAACAAGGAAAUUUCAGUGUUUUAAACAGUUUUUUUCCCUCGACCCAAUACCCUGCUAUAGUGGGUGAGAUGUUUAUCAAGCCCUCUAAAAUAAAGGGGCUUAAGGGUAAAGAAACACUGAAGAGACAAAGUUUUACCCCUCUGAAUCAGACAGGAUUUUAGCUCUUUUUAACUCUUGAACUACAAGUACUUGAUUUUUUUCCCUUUCCCAGCAGUUAAUAGGAUAAAACACUAUAGGACAGCUGUUGUAUUUGUUGUUGCGGUUGUGUAGUACUUCAUAUAUUCGUAAUAAAACUUUUCCUUGAAAACAAAUACUAUUUUUGCCCUAAAGUCAUUUCAGGUUUAAUCAUAUUAUUUUGCCAUUUUAUUAAUAUGGUUUAUUGCAGCCUGUGUGUGGCGCUUGCUUCAGUAAAGGCAUUGAAACAUGUAUCCAGAAGUGUAAGGAAAACUGACCUGCUCUGUGCAGCUUGAUUUCGGGUGUUAAAAUCACAGCCAGCAGUUUUUUCUGCCGGCGGAGCUCCUCUUCGUAUCCAGACUCUGUUCUAUUUUCGACCAGGUCCGUGAUUACCGCAGCCAGCAGCCGCCGAUUAAAUAAAUCAUCGAGAUCCUGAAAUCGGGACAUUUUCCUCAAACGCAAGAGCGAAAGCAGCGAAAACGGAACUUUGUGGUUACUGUGGUACCACUUGGACGACUUCCUCCUUCUCUUUUUACUUUAUGAGCGUUUUCUGGUGUGGAAACUGAGCUGAAUCCGGUUUGGAGCGAAAAUUUAAACCUCGGUAUCGGAUCACCAGGUUUGAGAAAGUCGCGGCUUAUUUGGCUCCAAUCCUUUGUUUGCAGAAUCUGGAUUUGGUUGAUUAUGGGAGGUCGAGCAGUAAUGUGUACUUCUUUAUCUCCUUCUUGGUUAACGGCGGAUGGCAACUAGUAGUACUGAUUUCGGUCGACGACACAAAGGCCCAAUUCCAAACUCCACCCUAAGCCCUCAAGCCCUGCACCCUCAUUAGCUUAGGUUAAGUCAGCUGGUAAGUGCUUGAGUGUGGGAGGGUUUAAGGGCUCCAAAAGGGUAUAAAAGCAAUGGAACAGCCCUUUGUGACGUGCCACGUUACCUUGACGAUAGACGACAACGUUGACAACCAAAGAUGCGACUGACACUUGCCUCUCUGGGCUCUUAAUUCUGCAUUUAUUUCGCGGCCAGCGACGUUGCAGAAGAAAGGCCAACAUUGUUCCGCUCCUUUUGCACACACUUGCUCUUGAACAUAGACAACAGGUAAUUGGUAAAUAAUGAUUAGAUUGAUAAAUUAUAAAACCAGCAUUAAUGAUAUGUUAAGUGAUAUUGAAUGGUUAAAAGGUUGAAGCACUAGAUUCUGAAAGUAAUCACUGCUUUAGAGUGUUAGUUCAGGAUAAAAUGUAUUGAUUCAGAUAAAAGUUUGAAGUAAAAAUCAAUUUUCUUUGUUAUAAGAAUAACGCAUGCGUGUGUGUAUGUGUGUGUGUGUAUAUAUGUAUGUAUACACACACACAUAUAUGUAUAUAUAUAUAUAUAUAUAUAUAUAUAUAUAUAUAUAUAUAUAUAUAUAUAUAUAUAUAUACAGUACAGGCCAAAAGUUUGGACACACCUUCUCAUUCAAUGUCUUUUCUUUUUUUUUAUAUGACUAUUUACAUUGUAGAUCAUUACUGAAGGCAUUAAAACUAUGAAUGAACACAUGUAGAAUUUUGUACUAAUAAAAAAAGUGUGAAAUAACCGAAAACAUGUUUUAUAUUCUAGUUUCUUUAAAAUAGCCACCCUUUGCUCUUGAUGACAGUGGUUCCUUGUCAGGGUUACUUCAGGCACUCCUGUGAAGUAAAAACCAUUUCAGGUGACUACCUCAUGAAGCUCAUUGAGAGAACAGCUUAAGUUUGCAGCGCUAUCAAAAAAGUAAAGGGUGGCUACUUUGAGAAAUCUAAAAUAUAAAACAUGUUUUCAGUUAUUUCACACUUUUUUCUUAAGCACAUGAUUCCACAUGUGUUCAUUCAUAGUUUUGAGAAUCUACAAUUUAAAUAGUAAUGAAAACAAAGAAAAUGCAUUGAAUGAAAAGGUGUGUCCAAACUUUUGGCCUGUACUAUAUAUAUAUAUAUAUAUAUAUAUAUAUAUAUAUAUAUAUAUAUAUAUAUAUAUAUAAUAUUAUAUCCAUGUUAAUGUAAUGCAUUCUUGUUCAUCUUGGCAUUCCGGCGCCCACCAUACACGAUGCGGAACAUCCAUGUUAGAGUAUUAAGGGUGCACCUAGAUCCUAAAUGAACUGCUUCUUCUUGAGCUUCUUCGCCAUGAUCUCCGUCAUUUUUGGUGUCUGUCGCGGACGUUGAGACGCUUGUGGCCUCGUUCCUUUUUAAAUCCUGGACCCGGCUGCGUCGCUGUCCUCCAGUAACGCCCACAACGCAAUGAAUUGUGGGCAAUUUCAUAGCCAAAGUCCUCAACGGUACGGACUUACGGAAAGGGUGCAGAAAGGGGCGUUCCCGAGCCCUCGCUGACUUACCGAUUUCAUUUGGAACAACCCUCAAGCCCUUACAGAGCUCACAUGAGCGCGCACCUAAGUCAAUGAGUCAGUGAGGGGGUGGUUUGGAAUUGGGCCAAAGAACUGGCAUGUGGGGAAUAGUGGGAAUUCACACAACGUCAUCUCCACUUCCGGUUUUAUAUAUAGCAGGGUCUCACCUCGAUGUUACUCAACUUCCGGUUUGCUUCCCGGUUAGCCAUAGGGGAAUUCUCUUUUUUUUCUUUCAUAUCAAAAAGUGGCAACUACAACUCCAGCAUUUCAAAUAAAGGAACAUUGAACAAACAACAUGGAGCACAGACUACCGUUUUCUCAUCCUCAGCACCCCCAAAGAAAUGUAAUGCUUAACCAGAGAUUGGGUGACCCCACCACAACAAAUCAUGGCCUUUACAACCUCCUGUUUUUUUUAUUUAUUUUUUUUUCUUGUAAAAUAACCAAGAAUUACUCUCACAGAAAGGUAGACAGUCAGCCUUUUCCAUUUCAAAGAGACAAAGAUGUUAAUUACCAGCAGGACCCCCAGACUGAACAAACAUUCACCCUUUCUCCUUGGCUGGAGAGUGUCGAAAUUGUCACUUCAGGCUUAAGGAUGGCUGAAGAGAGCAUGUGAACUCAACUCAAGAGGGCGCUUGGAGCACUCAUCCUUGAAAUAGACCCCAGCCAUAAACCCUCAGAGUGGCUGAUUCUUCCUGUAAUUCUCUUUACGUGCAGAGUAAAGAGAAUAACUGCAAAUGAUUUAAUGUCAGGUUUAAUGGACACUUCACAAGGAUUUUCUGUCUGUACACAACACAUCUUUGAGCCAGCUGAUUUUUCAGGGUAUGGAUGUUCUUCUUACUUUCUUCUUUUGCUUUUAAGUCAUCUGGAAUUAUGUUUUUAAGUUCUAAAAUCCAACCAGACAGACAAUUAAAAAUGUGUCGGUCUAUGCGUGGCUCGUCUUGGUGGUGGUGUUCCUGUACAAUUACAAGUGUCUAAUAGUUGAAUAGAAAGGAAAGCCACCUGUUGUCAUAUCUUAAACCCAUGUUGAUUCUUACUGUUUGGGUGUUUGCUCUAUUUCCAAUGCACAGACUUUAUCGUGGUCUACAAAAAUUUGUUAUACAACCUGACAGAGUACGUCAAGGUAUAUAUACUGUCACGAAACAGUAUUCCAGAUGAACAUUUAAAUUAAGCUGUUUGGGUUUGUGGUUUCUUGAUUGUUGUUUUUAUUCAGUGGUUGGUUGGUCAAAUUAAUUCUGAUGAAUUUGGUCUGCUGGCUAAGUGAGUAAAUUAAGUAGAUUAGACUAUUUUAAAUUUGCCUGUUUGCUGUCCUUGUUUGAUGUCACUUUGAACCCUACCAGAUGGGGAAAAUAUGAAUUCUUUCUCACUUUGUAAAGCUUAGCUGACACUUCACUGAUCAUCAACCAUGAGCUCCUACUCCUGCUCCUAGUAUUUCAAGGCUGGAAAUGUAAAACAUGUGAGUUUAAAAAUGUGAAUAAUUAAAUAAUGUAGCUGAACCUGUUGUGUUUAGUGUGCACAUAAAUGAUGAGAGAACAACAUUGUUUUGAGAUUUUCUUAAAAAGUGAUAUGAGUGGGUCUAUCUAGGCAUUUUCAAAAGCAAAUAUUUUAGUACUCAAACAAAAGUAACAUUUCAGCUAGCAAAUGUCCUUGUAUCUAAGUAGUUAUUGACUGAAUGUCUCUAUAAUUUGAAGUAGUAAUGUCUUUGUCCUCACUAUCUACCCUCUCUGUCCCCAUUAUCUACUUCAUAAUCUUCUAAACAAUCAAUUUUGGUCAUAAACCUAAUACAUUUUACUGUUAAUGUUAUUUAAGUUUAAGAGAGGUCUAAUGUGACAUCAAAAAGCCAGGACUCAAUACAAGUAUCUUCGGAAUUAUAAUAAGCGAGAUAACACACCUCACCCCACUGCAUUGCGUAAUUGUAGAGCACAGGACAGGAUACAGAAGAUUAAGUGCUGCCCCAGCAGAGGGUAAUUUCAGACCCAUUAAGUCCAGAUCAUACAAAAAAAAUUACAAAAGAUACAAGGGAUAAGAAUAAGAAAACUUUAUUGAUCCCCGAAGGGAAACCAUAGCUAGAGAGCUAGCAUAGCUAGAGACCCGUUGUGUCUCUAGCUAUUUUCAUUUUAGCAGAGAGGCUUACAGAAUUUAAAGACUGAGACCCCCACCCCCCCCCCCACCCCACCCCACACACACACACACACACACACACACACCUGAAGAGCCAUGUGACAUUCUUAGACUAGUCUAGUGUCAAUAUAUUCUAUUAUACACAGAACAAAAAUGUCUCUCUCUAGUAUGAAACAACAUUUGUAGGUUUUGAAAAUGUCAUGUUUAACUCCUUCACCACACAGUAAUCAACUCAAAAUCUACUCCUCAGCAUAAACUAGAAAAUGUGAAACCUGACUUCAUUUUCCAAAGAGUACUUCCCUUCAAACAGAGCAGCCAGUGGACUUCUUCACCCUUUGAGAUUGAAUGUGUAUAUUCAGCGCUUGUUAAGUUUUGUACAGUUUAUCACAUCCGGGGCAGCUAUAGGGUCUUUCUCCAGUGUGAACUCUCAUGUGGGAGGCCAGUUCUUUUUUACUUUUGAAUGUUUUGCCACAUUCUGAGCAGUUGAAGGGUCUCUUAUCUGAGUGAACUCUCAUGUGAUUGGUCCUCAGCCUUUUUGUUUUAAACAAUUUACCACACUCUGGGCAGCUGAAGGGUCUCUCCUCUGAGUGAACCGUCUUGUGGAGCAUUAGAUCGGUUUUUGUUUUAAAUGUAUUACCACAUUCUGAGCAGCUGAAGGGUCUCUCCCUUGUGUGAACUAUCAUGUGUCUUGCCAGUUCUCCUUUAGUUUUGAAAGGUUUGCCACAUUCUGGGCAGCUGAAGGGUCUCUCCUCUGAGUGAACUCUCAUGUGUCGUCCCAGUUCUCCUUUAGUUUUGAAUGUUUUGCCACAUUCUGAGCAGCUGAAGGGUCUCUCCCUUGUGUGAACUCUCAUGUGGCUUGCCAGUUCUCCUUUAGUUUUGAAUGUUUUGCCACACUCUGAGCAGCUGAAGGGUUUCUCAUCCGAAUGAAGUGCCAUGUGUUGUCCUAGUAAAUUUUUAGUUUUGAAUAUUUUGCCACAUUGUGGACAGCUGAAGGGUCUCUCCUCUGAGUGAACUUUCAGGUGUUUUUCUAGUUCUUGUCGUGUUUUGAAUAUUCGACAACACUUUGAGCAAACACGGGAUUUCUCAAGCCUCUUCAGCAUCUUCUUUCUCACUUUGUUUCUAGACAUUAGACUUGACUUUUGUGGCCUUGUAUCAUUCCAAUUCUCAUCACUGCCCUCAGUCUCAGGUUCAGGGGAGUCUUGAGUCUUUUGUUGUAUACUUAUCCCUGAAUCUGAGUGACUGGCUGGUUCUUGUCCACCAUAAUUCUGUUCCUUGCAAAUGUUUAGUGUCUCAGUGUAUCCCUGGUCCAGACUGGGACUCCUCCCCUGCUGCUCAGAGAGUAACUCUUUUUUCACCAACAUCUGCUGGAUAUCUGCAAGGCACAGAAAAACAAUAAUUAAACAGAAGUUGAUGAAAACAUCAGUAGAUAUGAAAGCAGAUUUAAAAACUCAAUGAUAGUCUAAAGAAAGAUAAGAGUUAGUGUGGGGAUUAUGAACUAAAGUUACCCCCUCUAGUGUUGGACUUAAUUAGCUCACUAGCUAAGUAUGUGCUGUCUCAGAGAAGCAGACUAUUAAUCAACAGUCAGGACAAGAACUGAACAAUGUCAGCAGCAUGGAUUUACUCGAAGAGGCACCACUAAAUCUGUUACUAUUCUCAAAUCACUUACAGCAUUUGUUAUGAUGCUCAUUGAUUGCUCCUGAAACUUCUCGGGCAAAACUGAAUGGAUGCAGCCUGGUGCAAAAAGCUGCUGCACCAUAGUUCCAGGCAACCAAUCACAGUGUUGAUAAAACACUUAACCCAGGUAACCAAGAGCAGCAUUGUGAGAGUUCACACUAAGAGCUCAGAAUUCAGCUCACAUUUAGUUCCCAUGGAUCGAAAUCAACUAGGUUGCAGUGAUAGUAUGUGUGUCUGUCAGCAGAGCCUCCCAAACUUCAAUUUCUAAUCCCCUCACUGACAUUUAUUGAAUUAAAUAAUUAUUCAAUUGUACAUCACAAUUGGAGACAGACAUGUAGUUUGAAAAAACAAGGAAAUUUCAGUGUUUUAAACAGUUUUUUUUCUUCCUGCCCCAAUACCCUGCUAUUGUGGGUGAGAUGUUUAUCAAGCCCUCUAAAAUAAGGGGGCUAAGGGUAUAGAAACACUGACGAGACAAACAUGAAAGUUGACUAUUCUAUCUGAAAAAGUUUUACCCCUCUGAAUCUGACAAUACAGAUUUACAUUUUGAAGUAGGCCACAGAGAUAAAUCUGGAACAUGUGCUUUUCUUGUGCCUUUUCAGAAUCAUCAUCAAACCAAUGUGUGACUCUUAAACUACAAAUACUUGACACAGUCCAGCAGUUAAUAGGAUAAAACAUGAUAGGAUAGCUGUUGUAUUUGUUGUUGCGAUUGUGUAGUACUUCAGAUAUUCGUAAUAAAAAAACUUUUUCCUUGAAAAGAAAAACUUUUUUUGACUUAAAAUCAUUCCAGGUUUGAUCAUAUUAUUUUGCCAUUUAAUUAAUGUGGUUUAUUGCAGCCUGUGUGUGGCGCUUGCUUAACUAAAGGCAUUGAAACAUGGAAAACUGACCUGCUCUGUGCAGCUUGAUUUCGGGUGUUAAAAUCACGGCCAGCAGUUUUUUCUGGCGGUGGAGCUCCUCUUCGUAUCCAGACUCUGUUCUAUUUUCGACUAGGUCCGUCAUUACCGCAGCCAGCAGCCGCCGAUUAAAUAAAUCAUCCAGAUCCUGAAACCCGGACAUUUUCCACAAACGCAAGAGCGAAAGAAGCGAAAACAGAACUUUGUGGUUACCGCGCUACCACGUGGACGACUUCUUCCUCUCCUUUUUUUUUCUUUAUGAGCGUUUUCUGGUGAGGAAACAGAGCGGAAUCCGUUUUGGGGCGAAAAUUUAAACCUCGGAAUCGGAUCAACAGGUUUGAAAAAGUCGCGGUGGAUUUGGCUCCGAUCUUUUGUUUGCAGAAUCUGGAUUUGGUCGAUUAUGGAGGUCAAGAAAUAUGCACUUCUUUAUCUCCUUCUUGGUUAACGGGGGAUGGCAACUUGUAGUACUGAUUUCGGUCGACGACCUAUAAAUAACUGGCAUGUGGGGAAUAGUGGGAAUUCACACGACGUCAUCUCCACUUCCGGUUUUACCUAUAGCAGGGUCGCACCUCGAUGUCACUCAACUUCCGGUUUGCUUCCCGGUUAGCCUUAGGGGAAUUCUCUUUUUUUUUCAUAUCAAAAAAUGGCAACUACAACUCCAGCAUUUCAAACAAAGGAACAUUGAACAAAUAACAUGGAGCACAGACUACCGUUUUCUCAUUCUCAGCUCCCCCAAAGAAAUGUAAUGCUUAACCAGAGCUUGGGUGACCCCACCACACCAAAUCGUGGCCUUUACAACAACCUGGUUUUUAUUUUUUUGUAAAAUAACCAAAAAUUACUCUCCCAGAAAGGUAGACAGUCAGCCUUUUCCAUUUCAAAGAGACAAAGAUGUUAAUUACCAGCAGGACCCCCAGACUGAACAAAUAUUCACCCUUUCUCCUUGGCUGGAGAGUGUCGAAAUUGUCACCUCAACCUUGAGGAUGGCCGAAGAGAGCAUGUGAACUCAACUCAAGACGGCGCUAGAAGCACUCAUCCUUGAAAUAGACCCCAGCCAUAAACCCUCAGAGUGGCUGAUUCUUCCUGUAAUUCUCUUUACGUGCAGAGUAAAGAGAAUAACUGCAAAUGAUUUAAUGUCAGGUUUAAUGGACACUUCACAAGGAUUUUCUGUCUGUACACAACACAUCUUUGAGCCAGCUGAUUUUUCAGGGUAUGCAUGUUCUUCUUACUUUCUUCUUUUGCUUUUAAGUCAGCUGGAAUUAUGUUUUUAAGUUCUAAAAUCCAACCAGACAGACAAUUAAAAAUGUGUCAGUCUAUGCGUGGCUCGUCUUGGUAGUGCUGUACAAUUAGAAGUCUCUAAUAAUUCCAGAUGAACAUUUAAUCCAAGCUGUUUGGCUUUGUGGUUUCUUGAUUGCUGUUUUUAUUCAGUGGUUGGUUGGUCAAAUUAAUUCUGAUGAAUUUGGUCAGCUGGCUAAGUGAGUAAGUUAAGUAGAUUAGACUAUUUUAAAUUUGCCUGUUUGUUGUCCUUGUUUGAUGUCACUUUGAACCCUACCAGAUGAGGAAAAUAUGAAUUCUUUCUCACUUUGUAAAGCUUAGCUGACACUUCACUGAUCAUCAACCAUGAGCUUCUACUCCGGCUCCUAGUAUUUCAAGGCUGGAAAUGUAAAACAUGUGAGUUUAAAGAUGUGAAUAAUUAAAUAACGUAGCUGAACCUGUUGUGUUUAGUGUGCACAUAAAUGAUGACAGAACAACAUUGUUUUGAGAUUUUCUUAAAAAGUGAUAUGAGUGGGUCCAUCUAGGCAUUUUCAAAAGCAAAUAUUUUAGUACUCAAACAAAAGUAACAUUUUAGUUAGCAAAUUUCCUUGUAUCUAAGUAGUUAUUGACUGAAUGUCUCUAUAAUUUGAAGUAGUAAUGUCUUUGUCCUCACUAUCUACCCUCUCUGUCCCCAUUAUCUACUUCAUAAUCUUCUAAACAAUCAAUUUUGGUCAUAAACCUAAUACAUUUUACUGUUAAUGUUAUUUAAGUUUAAGAGAGGUCUAAUGUGACAACAAAAGACCAGGAAUCAAUACAAGUAUCUCCGGCAUUCUAAUAAGUGAAUUUAGAAAAAAAAACACACCUCGCUCCACUGCAUUGCAUAAUAGGAGAGCACAGGACAAGAUACAGAAGAUUAAGUGUUGCCCCAGCAGAGGGUUAUUUCAGACCCAUUAAGUCCAGAUCAUACAAAAAAAAAGAAAAAUACAAGGGAUAAGAAUAAGAAUAAGAAUAACUUUAUUGAUCCCUGAAGGGAAAUCCAAUUGUCUGUCGUCUCACUGGUCAUGUCUCAAAAGUCAUCUACUAUUUAUAAAAGAGUUGUGAAGUCUGAUGGCUGUGGGUACAAAAGAUCUUCUCAAUCUUUCUGUCCUGCAGUAGAGAGAGAGGAGCUGUCCACCACCAUUGGCCCUUUGGUCCAUUAAGGUGUUGUGAAGUGGUUGAUCCAUGUUCUUUAAAAUAGCCUCCACCUCCCUCAGUCUACAUUUCUCCACCACAUCCUCCAACACAGCCAGCCUUUUUCACCAGUAUGUUCAGACGUUUUGCAUCUUUGUGUUUGAUGCUUUCUCCCCUGCAGACUGCAGCGCAGAACACAACACUUGCCACCACAGACUGAUAAAACAUCUGCAGCAUCUUACUACAGAUGUCUAUUAAUCGAAGUCUUCUCAGGGGAAAAGAGGCGGCUCUGCCACUUUCUGUAGGUGAAGUCUAUGCUCUUAGACCAGUCCACUCUACAUGCUUGUUUUUUUCUGCGUUUGUAGACACACUUGUUCGGUCUCUAACUAUGUGUUCAUUUUAGCAGAGAGGCUUACAGAAUUUAAAUACUGAGACUGAGAGAGUUUAUUACAUCCAGGGCAGCUCUAGGUUCUUUCUCCAGUGCAAACUCUCAUGUGUUUUAUCAAUGCAGGUUCUCUUUGGAAAGUUGUGCCACACUCUGAGCAGCUGUAGGGUCUCUCCUCUGAAUGAACUCUCAUGUGUUGUCCCAGUUCUCCUUCUCUUUUGAAUGUUUUGCCACAUUCUGAGCAGCUGAAGGGUCUCUCCUCUGAGUGAACCCUCAUGUGGCUUGCCAAGUUGUAUUUAGUUUUGAAUGUUUUGCCACAGUCUGAGCAGCUGAAGGGUCUCUCAUCUGAGUGAACUCUUAUGUGGCUUGCCAGUUCUCUUUUAGUUUUGAAUGUUUUGCCACAUUCUAAGCAGCUGAAGGGUCUCUCAUCUGAAUGAACUCUUAUGUGUUGUCCCAGAUCUCCUUCUCUUUUAAAUGUUUUGCCACAUUCUGAGCAGCUGAAGGGUCUCUCUUCUGAGUGAACCCUCAUGUGGCUUGCCAGUUUUUCUUUAGUUUUGAAUGUUUUGCCACAUUCUGAGCAGCUAAAUGGUCUCUCAUCUGAGUGAACUGCCAUGUGCCGUUCCAGAUGACUUUUUGAUAUAAAUGUUUUGCCACACUCUGAGCAGCUGAAGGGUCUCCCCUCUGAGUGAAAUGCCAUGUGUUGUCCCAGUUCUCCUUUAGUUUUGAAUGUUUUGCCACAGUCUGGGCAGCUAAAGGGUCUCUCCUCUGAAUGAACUCUCAUGUGUUUUGUCAGUACUCUUUCAGUUUUGAAUGUUUUGCCACAUUCUAAGCAGCUGAAGGGUCUCUCCUCUGAGUGAACUCUCAUAUGGCUUGCCAGUUCUCUUUCAGUUGUGAAUGUUUUGCCACAGUCUGGGCAGCUGAAGGGUUUCUCAUCUGAGUGAACUCUAAUGUGGAUUGCCAGUUCUCUUUCAGUUUUGAAUGUUUUGCCACAUUCUAAGCAGCUGAAGGGUUUCUCAUCUGAGUGAACUCUCAUGUGUCUUGCCAGUUCUCCUUUAGUUUUGAAUGUUUUGCCACAUUCUGAGCAGCUGAAGGGUCUCCCCUCUGAGUGAAGUCUCAUGUGGCUUGCCAGUUCUCCUUUAGUUUUGAAUGUUUUGCCACAUUCUGAGCAGCUGAAGGGUCUCUCAUCGGAGUGAACUCUCAUAUGGCUUGCCAAGUUGUAUUUAGUUUUGAAUGUUUUGCCACAUUCAGGGCAGCUGCAGGGUCUCCCCUCUGAGUAAACUCUCAUGUGGUUUGCCAGUUCUCCUUUAGUUUUGAAUGUUUUGCCACAUUCUGAGCAGCUGAAGGGUCUCUCAUCGGAGUGAACUCUCAUAUGGCUUGCCAAGUUGUAUUUAGUUUUGAAUGUUUUGCCACACUGUGGGCAGCUGAAGGGUCUCCCCUCUGAGUGAACUUUCAGGUGGAUUGCUAGUUCUUGUCGUGUUUUGAAUAUUCGACAAAACUUUGAGCAAACAUGUGAUUUCUCAAGCCUCUUUAGCAUCUUCUUUCUCACUUUUUUCACAGACAUUAGACUUGACUUUUGUGGCCUUGUAUCCUCCCAAUUCUCAUCACUGCCCUCAGUCUCAGGUUCAGGGGAGUCUUGAGUCUUUCGUUGUAUAUUUAUCCCUGAGUUGUUACUGGCUGGAUCUUGUCCUCCAUAAUUCUGUUCCUUGCAAAUGUUCGGGGGCUCAGUGUAUCCCUGGUCCAGAGUGGGACUCCUCCCCUGCUGCUCAGAGAGAAACUCUUCUUUUUUCACCAACACCUUCUGGAUAUCUGCAAGGCACAGAAAAACAAUAACUAAACAGAAGUCGAUGAAAACAUCAGUAGAUAUGAAAGCAGAUUUAAAAACUCAAUGAUAGUCUAAAGAAAGAUAAGAGUUAGUGUGGGGAUUAUGGACUAAUGUUUCCCCCUCUAGUGUUGGACUUAAUUAGCUCACCAGCUAUGUAUGUGCUGUCUCGGAGAAGCAGACUAUUUGUCAACAGUCCUGACAAGAACUGAACAAUGUCAGCAGCAUGGAUUUAGUUGAAGAGGCACCACUAAAUCUGUUGUUAUUCUCAUAUCAGUUUCAGCAUUUGUUAUGAUGCUCAUUGUUGUGCUCCUGAAACUUCUCGGGCAAAACUGAAUGGAUGCAGCCUGGUGCAAAAAAGCUGCUUCACCAUAGUUCCAGGUAACCAAUCACAGUGUUGAUAAAACACUUAACCCAGGUAACCAAGAGCAGCAUUGUGAGAAUUCACACUAAGAGCUCAGAAUUCAGCUCACAUUUAGUUCACUUGGAUCGAAAUCAACUAGUUCACAUCGAUAGUUUGUGUGUCUGUCAGCAGAGCCUCCCAAACUUCAAUUCCUAAUCCACUCACUGACAUUUAUUGAACUAAAUUAUCAUUAAAUUGUAUAUCACAAUUGGAGACAGACAUGUACUUUGAAAAAACAAGGAAAUUUCAGUUUUUUUUCUUCCCCAAUACCCUGCUAUAGUGGGUGACAUGUUUAUCAAGCCCUCUAAAAUAAGGGGGCUAAGGGUAUAGAAACACUGAAGAGACAAACAUGAAAGUUGACUAUUCUAUCUGAAAAAGUUUUACCCCUCUGAAUUAGCCUGCUGGGCAGCACAAAAACGAGAAAUGCUGACUGACAAUACAGAUUUACAUUUUCAAGUAGGCCACAGAGAUAAAUCUGGAACAUGUGCUUUUCUUGUGUCUUUUCAGAAUCAUCAUCAAACCAAUGUGUGACUCUUAAACUACAAAUACUUGACACAGUCCAGCCAUUAAUAGGAUAAAACAUGAUAGGAUAGCUGUUGUAUUUGUUGUUGCGAUUGUGUAGUACUUCAGAUAUUCGUAAUAAAAAAACUUUUUCCUUGAAAAGAAAAACUUUUUUUGACUUAAAAUCAUUCCAGGUUUGAUCAUAUUAUUUUGCCAUUUAAUUAAUGUGGUUUAUUGCAGCCUGUGUGUGGCGCUUGCUUCAGUAAAGGCAUUGAAACAUGGAAAACUGACCUGCUCUGUGCAGCUUGAUUUCGGGUGUUAAAAUCACAGCCAGCAGUUUUUUCUGGCGGCGGAGCUCCUCUUCGUAUACAGACUCUGUUCUAUUUUCGACUAGGUCCGUCAUUACCGCAGCCAGCAGCCGCCGAUUAAAUAAAUCAUCAAGAUCCUGAAACCCGGACAUUUUCCACAAACGCAAGAGCGAAAGAAGCGAAAAUCGAACUCUGUGGUUACCGCGGUACGUGGACGACUUCUUCCUCUUCUUUUUUCUUUAUGAGCGUUUUCUGGUGUGGAAACAG
Xyrichtys novacula (pearly razorfish) is the source of this 17117-nucleotide non-coding RNA. Lineage: Eukaryota; Metazoa; Chordata; Actinopteri; Labriformes; Labridae. The record is from the annotation of a GenBank genome assembly.